This 460-nucleotide ribosomal RNA is filed under the name uncultured bacterium. RNAcentral's name for it is "partial 16S ribosomal RNA". It matches the Rfam family "Bacterial small subunit ribosomal RNA", at positions 338 to 795 of the family's 1533-position model. The record is from RNAcentral.
CCUACGGGUGGCAGCAGUGAGGAAUAUUGGUCAAUGGACGAGAGUCUGAACCAGCCAAGUAGCGUGAAGGAUGACUGCCCUAUGGGUUGUAAACUUCUUUUAUAUGGGAAUAAAACGUUCCACGUGUGGGAUUUUGUAUGUACCAUAUGAAUAAGGUUCGGCUAACUCCGUGCCAGCAGCCGCGGUAAUACGGAGGAUCCGAGCGUUAUCCGGAUUUAUUGGGUUUAAAGGGAGCGUAGGUGGAUUGUUAAGUCAGUUGUGAAAGUUUGCGGCUCAACCGUAAAAUUGCAGUUGAAACUGGCAGUCUUGAGUACAGUAGAGGUGGGCGGAAUUCGUGGUGUAGCGGUGAAAUGCUUAGAUAUCACGAAGAACUCCGAUUGCGAAGGCAGUUCACUGGACUGCAACUGACACUGAGGCUCGAAAGUGUGGGUAUCAAACAGGAUUAGAUACCCCAGUAGUC